Papaver somniferum (opium poppy) is the source of this 1807-nucleotide long non-coding RNA. RefSeq lists it as uncharacterized. NCBI's taxonomy places the organism in Eukaryota, Viridiplantae, Streptophyta, Magnoliopsida, Ranunculales, Papaveraceae. The record is from RefSeq and is a predicted model, not a curated record. The transcript is spliced from 6 exons.
UCUUCAGACAUAUUCAUCACAACUUGCAGAGCUUUGGGACGUCCGGAAAUAUCCACAAGCUAGAAAACUUUCUCAAAGGAUUGAGAAGCUACCGGUACAGGUUGGGUAUUCUUAUAUCCAUUUAUAUCCCCUAUUGUUGUUGAUGAUGAUGUUAUAUAGCUUUCAGUUUUGUUGAAGUCCUGUUAGUUUUGAUGAUUUUCACACAACUAGAAAUUUGGUUUAAAUCCUCUACUUUAUGGUGUUCAAUCCUUGCAUGCGAACUGUGGAUGAAUUUGAAUGUCAUCAGUUGUUUUAUUAAGAUGCUUAACCAUCUAAGAUUUGGAUUCCAUCAACAAAGAAGCCUCAUAUUGAAUUUCUAAACUAGCCUGCUAAGUAUUCGUUAAAAUGACAAAAGUAGCUUUGAAUUUGAAACUCCAGUAAUAGUCGAAAGUUUGACAAAAACCUCAUUCCAUCAAAAAUUAUGGCUUAAAAUUCUUUGCUUUCUAUUAAAAUUUAGUGAUACAAAUUUACUUUACUGUAUUAUACUUGGCGUUUUCUUUGGUAGUAAUUAUAAAAUUUUCUUAUGAACAUGGAAAUGAGAUCAUCUGCUGCUCAAAUAUGUUUUGACCAUGGAAAUGCCAUCAUAUAUUUUCUUAUGAACAUGGACUAAUUUUCUUUUUCCUCUUCGAUUUCUCCAUUGGAAUUCAUGCUGACAUCUUUCUUAUGGUGGGGUUUAUUUGGUUUUAUUGCCUUGGUUCUAUUGGAACUCGUAUGAGAGGAAUAUGAGAAAUACAAAAUUUCACGAGAAACAAAAAGGGAGAUUGAUUUACAUUUUCAUUCCUAAUAAACCAGACAUCUAUUGAUGAAGGGAUAUUAAUCGAAUGGAACAAAGAUUGGGAAAGACGUAGUUGCCUGUUUGAAAGAAGCUAUGAAAAAAGCAAACAUUGAUAUGUUUUCAGUAACUGCGCUGGUUAAUAAUUCUGGGGGAGCGCUCGCUGGAGCGAUAUACAAGAACCAAGAUGUGAAAGUUGCUUUCAUUUUGGGCACUGGAAGUAAUUUCUGUUACGUAGAAUGUAUGGAUGCUAUUCCAAAUAAAUCUUCUCCCUCAGCAGUAGUAUAUGCCAUAGAAAAAUGAAAGUCAGUUCAAAAGAGAUGAUGAUGAACUUUCAAGUCUUGGAAGAGCUGGGGCAUGUGCUGGCAUGAUUUCUACCCUUGUUGACAUGAUCGGUGUGUGCAUUUUCUAGUCUUUUCCAGAACAUGAACUUACAGUUCAGUAUGAAGCCGGGAACGCAUCUUCGGAUCCAAAUAUGCUUACUGCAGAAAUAUGGACUCUAACUAUUGUUACAAACAAUUUCAUUGGAUCUCAUAAGCUUGGGGCAUGAGGUUCUGGUCCAGUGUACUAGGGAAUGCUAGCGGAUGGGCAAGAAAUAGCAGUAAAAAGGCUCUCGGAGAGCUCUUUACAAGGUCUAGAAGAGUUUACAAAUGAAGUUACAGUGAUGUUAAAAUCUCCAGCACCCAAAUCUCGUGAGGCUGUAGUGGAAGGGGAUAAUAUAUGAUGACCACAUACCUAAUAAAAGCUUGGAUGCUUAUCUUUUCAGUGUGAGAUUUUCUAACAAAUUCAGUCACUCGAAAUUCUGAUCAGAUACCUGACAUCAUGUUAAACAUCUUCCAUACAAAAUAGUUAACCUUGUGUUUUUGUAGACCAUCUGACUCAGGUGCCCAUUUUAAUUUAUACCACUGUCUAUACCAGUCACCCAUUUUUAAUGUAUCGACCACUUGAGUAGCAUACCUAAAUUAUUUUAUGCGAUCAUUUUUCUUCUGUAGCCAA